GAUGAACGCUAGCGGCAGGCUUAACACAUGCAAGUCGAGGGGUAGAGGAAGCUUGCUUCCUUGAGACCGGCGCACGGGUGCGUAACGCGUAUACAAUCUACCUUUUACAGAGGGAUAGCCCAGAGAAAUUUGGAUUAAUACCUCAUAGUAUUUUCGGAUCGCAUGAUUUGAUUAUUAAAGUUCCAACGGUAAAGAUGAGUAUGCGUCCCAUUAGCUAGAUGGUAAGGUAACGGCUUACCAUGGCAAUGAUGGGUAGGGGUCCUGAGAGGGAGAUCCCCCCACACUGGUACUGAGACACGGACCAGACUCCCUACGGGAGGCAGCAGUGAGGAAUAGUUGGACAAUGGGCGCAAGCCUGAUCCAGCCAUGCCGCGUGCAGGAAUAAGGUCCUAUGGAUUGUAAACU
This 405-nucleotide ribosomal RNA is filed under the name uncultured bacterium. RNAcentral's name for it is "bacterial SSU rRNA". It matches the Rfam family "Bacterial small subunit ribosomal RNA", at positions 28 to 431 of the family's 1533-position model. The record is from RNAcentral.